UACGGAGGGUGCGAGCGUUACUCGGAAUCACUGGGCGUAAAGGACGCGUAGGCGGGUUGUCAAGUCAGGUGUGAAAUCCUACAGCUUAACUGUAGAACUGCACUUGAAACUGGCAACCUAGAGUAUGGGAGGGGGAGAUGGAAUUAGUGGUGUAGGGGUAAAAUCCGUAGAUAUCACUAGGAAUACCUAAAGCGAAGGCGAUCUCCUGGAACAUUACUGACGCUAAGGCGUGAAAGCGUGGGGAGCAAACAGGAUUAGAUACCCUGGUAGUCCACGCCCUAAACGAUGAACACUAGUCGUCGCGAUGCUUGUCAUUGCGGUGAUGCACUUAACAGAUUAAGUGUUCCGCCUGGGGAGUACGGUCGCAAGAUUAAA
RNAcentral lists this ribosomal RNA (375 nucleotides) under uncultured bacterium. Its description in RNAcentral is "bacterial SSU rRNA". It matches the Rfam family "Bacterial small subunit ribosomal RNA", at positions 524 to 898 of the family's 1533-position model. The record is from RNAcentral.